RNAcentral lists this unclassified non-coding RNA (228 nucleotides) under uncultured fungus. RNAcentral describes it as "sequence contains ITS1, 5.8S rRNA gene". The stretch from base 180 to 228 matches the Rfam family "5.8S ribosomal RNA", at positions 1 to 49 of the family's 154-position model. The record is from RNAcentral. Lineage: Eukaryota; Fungi.
UCUCCGUUGGUGAACCAGCGGAGGGAUCAUUACAGAGUUAUCCAACUCCCAACCCAUGUGAACUUAUCUCUUGUUGCCUCGGCGCAAGCGACCCGGGCCCAGCCCGGGGCGCCCGCCGGCGGACACACCAAACUCUGUUAUCUUCGUUGAUUAUCUGAGUGUCUUAUUUAAUAAGUCAAAACUUUCAACAACGGAUCUCUUGGUUCUGGCAUCGAUGAAGAACGCAGC